Molecule: ribosomal RNA, 465 nt
Filed under: uncultured Klebsiella sp.
Lineage: Bacteria; Pseudomonadati; Pseudomonadota; Gammaproteobacteria; Enterobacterales; Enterobacteriaceae
Description: bacterial SSU rRNA
Rfam family: Bacterial small subunit ribosomal RNA
Source: RNAcentral
CCUACGGGGGGCAGCAGUGGGGAAUAUUGCACAAUGGGCGCAAGCCUGAUGCAGCCAUGCCGCGUGUGUGAAGAAGGCCUUCGGGUUGUAAAGCACUUUCAGCGGGGAGGAAGGCGGUGAGGUUAAUAACCUCAUCGAUUGACGUUACCCGCAGAAGAAGCACCGGCUAACUCCGUGCCAGCAGCCGCGGUAAUACGGAGGGUGCAAGCGUUAAUCGGAAUUACUGGGCGUAAAGCGCACGCAGGCGGUCUGUCAAGUCGGAUGUGAAAUCCCCGGGCUCAACCUGGGAACGGCAUUCGAAACUGGCAGGCUAGAGUCUUGUAGAGGGGGGUAGAAUUCCAGGUGUAGCGGUGAAAUGCGUAGAGAUCUGGAGGAAUACCGGUGGCGAAGGUGGCCCCCUGGACAAAGACUGACGCUCAGGUGCGAAAGCGUGGGGAGCAGACAGGAUUAGAUACCCGUGUAGUC